Molecule: ribosomal RNA, 1412 nt
Filed under: Enterococcus faecium
Lineage: Bacteria; Bacillati; Bacillota; Bacilli; Lactobacillales; Enterococcaceae
Description: partial 23S ribosomal RNA
Rfam family: Bacterial large subunit ribosomal RNA
Source: RNAcentral
UCCCAAGGCUAAAUACUCCCUAGUGACCGAUAGUGAACCAGUACCGUGAGGGAAAGGUGAAAAGCACCCCGGAAGGGGAGUGAAAUAGAACCUGAAACCGUGUGCCUACAACAAGUCAAAGCCCGUUAAUGGGUGAUGGCGUGCCUUUUGUAGAAUGAACCGGCGAGUUACGAUUGCAUGCGAGGUUAAGUUGAAGAGACGGAGCCGCAGCGAAAGCGAGUCUGAAUAGGGCGUUUGAGUAUGUAGUCGUAGACCCGAAACCAUGUGAUCUACCCAUGUCCAGGUUGAAGGUGCGGUAAAACGCACUGGAGGACCGAACCCACGUACGUUGAAAAGUGCGGGGAUGAGGUGUGGGUAGCGGAGAAAUUCCAAACGAACUUGGAGAUAGCUGGUUCUCUCCGAAAUAGCUUUAGGGCUAGCCUCGGAAUUGAGAAUGAUGGAGGUAGAGCACUGUUUGGACUAGGGGCCCAUCUCGGGUUACCGAAUUCAGAUAAACUCCGAAUGCCAUUCAUUCAUAUCCGGGAGUCAGACUGUGAGUGAUAAGAUCCAUAGUCGAAAGGGAAACAGCCCAGACCACCAGCUAAGGUCCCAAAAUAUAUGUUAAGUGGAAAAGGAUGUGGGGUUGCACAGACAACUAGGAUGUUGGCUUAGAAGCAGCCACCAUUUAAAGAGUGCGUAAUAGCUCACUAGUCGAGUGACCCUGCGCCGAAAAUGUACCGGGGCUAAACAUAUUACCGAAGCUGUGGAGUACACCUUUAGGUGUAUUGGUAGGAGAGCGUUCUAAGGGCGUUGAAGGCAGAUCGUGAGGACUGCUGGAGCGCUUAGAAGUGAGAAUGCCGGUAUGAGUAGCGAAAGACAGGUGAGAAUCCUGUCCACCGAAUGACUAAGGUUUCCUGGGGAAGGCUCGUCCGCCCAGGGUUAGUCGGGACCUAAGCCGAGGCCGACAGGCGUAGGCGAUGGAUAACAGGUUGAUAUUCCUGUACCCGUUGUUUUUGUUUGAGCAAUGGAGGGACGCAGGAGGCUAAGGAAUGCAGACGAUCGGAAAUGUCUGUCCAAGCAGUAAGUCUGAAGAGGAGUCAAAUGCUUCUUUUCUUAAGGACAAGCUGUGAUGGGGAGGGAAAUAAUAGUACCGAAGUUCCUGAUGUCACACUGCCGAGAAAAGCUUCUAGUGAGAAAACAGCGGCCCGUACCGCAAACCGACACAGGUAGUCGAGGAGAGAAUCCUAAGGUGAGCGAGAGAACUCUCGUUAAGGAACUCGGCAAAAUGACCCCGUAACUUCGGGAGAAGGGGUGCUGAUCAUACGAUCAGCCGCAGUGAAUAGGCCCAAGCGACUGUUUAUCAAAAACACAGGUCUCUGCAAAAUCGUAAGAUGAAGUAUAGGGGCUGACGCCUGCCCGGUGCUGGAAGGUUA